Molecule: ribosomal RNA, 440 nt
Filed under: Chironius flavolineatus
Lineage: Eukaryota; Metazoa; Chordata; Lepidosauria; Squamata; Colubridae
Description: partial 12S ribosomal RNA
Rfam family: Microsporidia small subunit ribosomal RNA
Source: RNAcentral
CGCCAAAUAACUACGAGUAAAAACUUAAAAUUUAAAAGACUUGACGGUACCUCACAGCAGUCUAGAGGAGCCUGUCUAAUAACCGAUACUCCACGAUUAACCCAACCCCCCCUAGCCUAACAGUCUAUAUACCGCCGUCGCCAGCCUACCUUAUGAAAGAAACAAAGUAGGCUAAACAGUCACACACUAAUACGACAGGUCGAGGUGUAACUAAUGGGGAGGUCCAAGAUGGGCUACACUUUCUAAUACAGAAAAUACGAAUAAACUAUGAAACAAGAAACUGAAGGCGGAUUUAGCAGUAUACUAAGAACAAAAUACAUAGUAGAAAUCAAAGCAAUGAGGUGCGUACACACCGCCCGUCAUCCCUGUCAAACAACCACUUAACUUCCAUAAACAAAAAUAGAACCUUAAAGCAGGGCAAGUCGUAACAAGGUAAGUGU